RNAcentral lists this transfer RNA (74 nucleotides) under Caldisericum exile. RNAcentral's name for it is "tRNA-Arg". It matches the Rfam family "tRNA". Rfam says of the family: Transfer RNA (tRNA) molecules are approximately 80 nucleotides in length. Their secondary structure includes four short double-helical elements and three loops (D, anti-codon, and T loops). Further hydrogen bonds mediate the characteristic L-shaped molecular structure. tRNAs have two regions of fundamental functional importance: the anti-codon, which is responsible for specific mRNA codon recognition, and the 3' end, to which the tRNAs corresponding amino acid is attached (by aminoacyl-tRNA synthetases). tRNAs cope with the degeneracy of the genetic code in two manners: having more than one tRNA (with a specific anti-codon) for a particular amino acid; and 'wobble' base-pairing, i.e. permitting non-standard base-pairing at the 3rd anti-codon position. Lineage: Bacteria; Pseudomonadati; Caldisericota; Caldisericia; Caldisericales; Caldisericaceae. RNAcentral also lists the same sequence under 5 other names. The record is from RNAcentral.
GUGCCUGUAGCUCAGGUGGAUAGAGCACCGGAAUGCGAGUCCGGUGGUCAGGGGUUCAAGUCCCCUCAGGCACA